ACGGCUCAGUAACACGUGGCUAAUCUGCCCUUAGGACGAGAACAACCCCGGGAAACUGGGGCUAACUCUCGAUAGGCGAAGAACUCUGGAAUGAGUCUUUACCUAAAUAGUGCAACGUUAUCCUCGUUGCAUCGCCUAAGGAUGAGGCCGCGACCGAUCAGGUUGUUGGCGAGGUAAUGGCUCACCAAGCCUUUUACCGGUGCGGGCCGUGAGAGCGGGAGCCCGGAGAUGGGCACUGAGACAAGGGCCCAGGCCCUACGGGGCGCAGCAGUCGCGAAAACUUUGCAAUAAGCGAAAGCUUGACAGGGCUAUCCCGAGUGCCAUCCGCUGAGGAAGGCUUUUACCCAGUCUAGAACGCUGGGGGAAUAAGGAGAGGGCAAGUCUGGUGUCAGCCGCCGCGGUAAUACCAGCUCUCCGAGUGGUGUGGAUGUUUAUUGGGCCUAAAGCAUCCGUAGCUGGCUAGGUCAGUCCCUUGUUAAAUCCACCGAAUUAAUCGUUGGAUUGCGGGGGAUACUGCUUGGCUAGGGGACGAGAGAGGCAGACGGUAUUUUCGGGGUAGGGGUGAAAUCCUAUAAUCCCGGGAAGACCACCAGUGGCGAAGGCUGUCUGCUAGAACGCGCCCGACGGUGAGGGAUGAAAGCUGGGGGAGCGAACCGGAUUAGAUACCCGGGUAGUCCCAGCUGUAAACGAUGCAGACUAGGUGUUUGGACGGCCACGUGCCGUUCUAGUGCCGCAGGGAAGCUGUUAAGUCUGCCGCCUGGGGAGUACGAUCGCAAGAUUGAAACUUAAAGGAAUUGGCGGGGGGAGCAC
This 810-nucleotide ribosomal RNA is filed under the name uncultured archaeon. RNAcentral's name for it is "bacterial SSU rRNA". It matches the Rfam family "Archaeal small subunit ribosomal RNA", at positions 85 to 879 of the family's 1478-position model. The record is from RNAcentral.